GAAAUGCGAUAUGUAAUGUGAAUUGCAGAAUUCCGUGAAUCAUCAAAUCUUCGAACGCACCUUGCGCUCCUUGGUUAUUCCAGGGAGCAUGCCUGUUUCAGUCUUAGUAUCAACCUCAAGAACGGUAGUUCUUGGAAUUGGGCUUUUCUCAGGAUCUUAGCCUGAGAUGCCUGAAAUUGAAGCAACGGUCUGAUUUGAAUUACCUUAGCUGUGUGAUAAUAGGCCCACCAAGUCUAAACCCACUGCUAUGUCAAGCCAGAUUUCGUUAAUCCAAAGUUAAAGCCGAAAGGACUUUACAACUCUAGCUGAAAUCAGGCAAGACUACCCGCUGAACUUAA
RNAcentral lists this unclassified non-coding RNA (338 nucleotides) under uncultured fungus. RNAcentral describes it as "sequence contains ITS1". The stretch from base 1 to 106 matches the Rfam family "5.8S ribosomal RNA", at positions 50 to 154 of the family's 154-position model. Lineage: Eukaryota; Fungi. The record is from RNAcentral.